RNAcentral lists this ribosomal RNA (468 nucleotides) under uncultured bacterium. RNAcentral describes it as "partial 16S ribosomal RNA". It matches the Rfam family "Bacterial small subunit ribosomal RNA", at positions 28 to 507 of the family's 1533-position model. The record is from RNAcentral.
GACGAACGCUGGCGGCGUGCUUAACACAUGCAAGUCGAACGGAAAGGCCCUGCUUUUGUGGGGUGCUCGAGUGGCGAACGGGUGAGUAACACGUGAGUAACCUGCCCUUGACUUUGGGAUAACUUCAGGAAACUGGGGCUAACACCGGAUAGGAGCUCCUGCUGCAUGGUGGGGGUUGGAAAGUUUCGGCGGUUGGGGAUGGACUCGCGGCUUAUCAGCUUGUUGGUGGGGUAGUGGCUUACCAAGGCUUUGACGGGUAGCCGGCCUGAGAGGGUGACCGGCCACAUUGGGACUGAGAUACGGCCCAGACGCGUACGGGAGGCAGCGGUGGGGAGUAUUGCGCAAUGGGCGGAAGCCUGAUGCAGCAACGCCGCGUGCGGGAUGACGGCCUUCGGGUUGUAAACCGCUUUCGCCUGUGACGAAGCGUGAGUGACGGUAAUGGAUAAAGAAGCACCGGCUAACUACGUG